This 270-nucleotide ribosomal RNA is filed under the name uncultured bacterium. RNAcentral's name for it is "partial 16S ribosomal RNA". It matches the Rfam family "Bacterial small subunit ribosomal RNA", at positions 29 to 285 of the family's 1533-position model. The record is from RNAcentral.
AAUGAACGCUGGCGGCGUGCUUAACACAUGCAAGUCGUGCGCGAAGGUGGCUUCGGCCACCGGAGAGCGGCGAACGGGUGAGUAACACGUGGGUAAUCUACCUUGGAGCGGGGGAUAACCUGGGGAAACUCGGGCUAAUACCGCAUACGUCGGCGGGGCUACGGCUCCGCCAAGAAAGCUGGCCUCUGCUUGCAUGCUAGCGCUCCUAGAGGAGCCCGCGGCUGAUUAGCUAGUUGGUGGGGUAAUGGCCCACCAAGGCGACGAUCAGUA